This 253-nucleotide ribosomal RNA is filed under the name uncultured bacterium. RNAcentral's name for it is "partial 16S ribosomal RNA". It matches the Rfam family "Bacterial small subunit ribosomal RNA", at positions 524 to 776 of the family's 1533-position model. The record is from RNAcentral.
UACAGAGGUCUCAAGCGUUGUUCGGAUUCCUUGGGCGUAAAGGGUGCGUAGGCGGCGCGGUAAGUCGGGUGUGAAAUCUUGGAGCUUAACUCCGAAACUGCAUUCGAUACUGCCGUGCUUGAGGACUGGAGAGGAGACUGGAAUUUACGGUGUAGCGGUGAAAUGCGUAGAUAUCGUAAGGAAGACCAGUGGCGAAGGCGGGUCUCUGGACAGUUCCUGACGCUGAGGCACGAAGGUCAGGGGAGCAAACGGG